Molecule: ribosomal RNA, 460 nt
Filed under: uncultured bacterium
Lineage: Bacteria
Description: partial 16S ribosomal RNA
Rfam family: Bacterial small subunit ribosomal RNA
Source: RNAcentral
CCUACGGGAGGCAGCAGUGAGGAAUAUUGGUCAAUGGGCUUACGCCUGAACCAGCCAAGUCGCGUGAGGGAAGACUGCCCUAUGGGUUGUAAACCUCUUUUGUCAGGGAGCAAUUGGCGCUACGUGUAGCGUUAUCGAGAGUACCUGAAGAAAAAGCAUCGGCUAACUCCGUGCCAGCAGCCGCGGUAAUACGGAGGAUGCGAGCGUUAUCCGGAUUUAUUGGGUUUAAAGGGUGCGUAGGCGGAAUGCCAAGUCAGCGGUAAAAUCGCGGGGCUCAACCUCGCUCCGCCGUUGAAACUGGCGGUCUUGAGUGGGCGAUAAGUAUGCGGAAUGCGUGGUGUAGCGGUGAAAUGCAUAGAUAUCACGCAGAACUCCGAUUGCGAAGGCAGCAUACCGGCGCCCAACUGACGCUGAAGCACGAAAGCGUGGGUAUCGAACAGGAUUAGAUACCCCGGUAGUC